CAGUCGCCACGGGAAUACGAAGGGUGCAAACGUUGCCCGGAAUUAUUGGGCGUAAAGCGCACGUAGGCGGCUUAGCAAGUCUGAUGUGAAAUCCCUCGGCUUAACCAAGGAAGUACAUCGGAAACUGCUGAGCUUGAGUACUUAAGAGGAUCGCGGAAUUCCCGGUGUAGAGGUGAAAUUCGUAGAUAUCGGGAGGAACACCAGUGGCGAAGGCGGCGAUCUGGGAAGAUACUGACGCUGAGGUGCGAAAGCGUGGGGAGCAAACAGGAUUAGAUACCCCCGUAGUCCCUGUCUCUUAUAC
RNAcentral lists this ribosomal RNA (301 nucleotides) under uncultured bacterium. RNAcentral's name for it is "partial 16S ribosomal RNA". It matches the Rfam family "Bacterial small subunit ribosomal RNA", at positions 509 to 807 of the family's 1533-position model. The record is from RNAcentral.